Molecule: ribosomal RNA, 492 nt
Filed under: uncultured bacterium
Lineage: Bacteria
Description: partial 16S ribosomal RNA
Rfam family: Bacterial small subunit ribosomal RNA
Source: RNAcentral
AGUGAACGCUGGCGGCAGGCCUAACACAUGCAAGUCGAACGGCAGCACAGUAAGAGCUUGCUCUUACGGGUGGCGAGUGGCGGACGGGUGAGGAAUACAUCGGAAUCUACUUUUUCGUGGGGGAUAACGCAGGGAAACUUACGCUAAUACUGCAUACGACCUACGGGUGAAAGCAGGGGACCUUCGGACCUUGCGCGAUUGAAUGAGCCGAUGUCGGACUAGCUAGUUGGCGGGGUAAAGGCCCACCAAGGCGACGAUCCGUAGCUGGUCUGAGAGGAUGAUCAGCCACACUGGAACUGAGACACGGUCCAGACUCCUACGGGAGGCAGCAGUGGGGAAUAUUGGACAAUGGGCGCAAGCCUGAUCCAGCCAUACCGCGUGGGUGAAGAAGGCCUUCGGGUUGUAAAGCCCUUUUGUUGGGAAAGAAAAGCAGCAGGUUAAUACCCCGCUGUUCUGACGGUACCCAAAGAAUAAGCACCGGCUAACUUCGUG